RNAcentral lists this transfer RNA (77 nucleotides) under Bartonella sp. 1-1C. RNAcentral's name for it is "tRNA-Arg". It matches the Rfam family "tRNA". From Rfam's summary of the family: Transfer RNA (tRNA) molecules are approximately 80 nucleotides in length. Their secondary structure includes four short double-helical elements and three loops (D, anti-codon, and T loops). RNAcentral also lists the same sequence under 1 other name. Lineage: Bacteria; Pseudomonadati; Pseudomonadota; Alphaproteobacteria; Hyphomicrobiales; Bartonellaceae. The record is from RNAcentral.
GGUCCCGUAGCUCAGUUGGAUAGAGCAACGGCCUUCUAAGCCGCAGGUCACAGGUUCGAAUCCUGUCGGGAUCGCCA